CACGAUUAGCAUUUUUACUAUGGACUGUGGUCAGAGGACAGGUGAUAACGGCGGAAAACCUACGGACAAGGGGUUUUUGUAUUACAGAGUGGUGCUUUAUGUGUCAGAGGGAUGGGGAGUAGCAGACUUGCAUGAAAGCUUAUUCCGGGCUGUAUAGUUUGGUAUGUGUGAAGAAAAAGGAACAUCCGAUGCGUUGAUGAUCAAACAAGAACAACAGAGCAACUUAGAGAAUUGUUUUAUUUCACAUUGUACACUUGGUUUAAUGCGGUGGCUACUAGUCAUAUAGAUGGGCUGCCCAAUUUUAUGAUGUUUCUUUCAGAUUUGUAUUGAUAAUACACUUCCUUUGUAUUAUGGUUUGAUUAAUAAAAUACUUGAUUACCUUUUAAAAAAAAAAAAAGAUAGUUCAGCCCAUGAUAGAAAACGAAACCACUCCUUGGGCCUGCCAGAAGUAAAGGAACACAAAUAUGUCUCGAUACCCCCGUUGACUACCUCUGCUUGACCAUCGAUUUGUGGGUGAUAGACCGAACUAAGCCUUAGUUUAGUGCCUUGCAGCUGAAAGAGUUCACUCCAAAACUUGCUAACAAACACCUGGUCACGAUCAGUGAUUAUCAAUAUCGACGUACCGUGCAAUCGAAUUAUUUCUUUAAUAAAAACUGCAGCCACAGAAGGUGCUGAGAAAGGGUGUUUAAGGCCCACAAAGUGGCCAUACGUACUCAAGCUUUCCACAACUACCAAGAUUGAGUCGAAACCAUCUGAUUUUGGCAACCCUUCAAUAAAUUCUAUGGACAUAUCGUCCCAAACCUUCUCUGGCACAGGUAAAUAUUGAAGCAGCCCUGCAGGCAUGAGAGUGUAAUAUUUGUUCUGUUGACAGGAGGCACAAGCUGCCACAGUCCUGAAUGUCCUCUUUCAUGCCUCUCCAAUGGAAUGUUUCAGCAAUCCUUUUGUAUGUCUUGAGGAAACCCCCAUGCCCCCUAUUUCGCUAUCGUGUCCCUCUUGUAAUGCCAAUAACACAAAUGGAGAAUCCUUGGGUAGGGCGAGUUUGUCAUGGUAUAAUAGAGCACCCCGUACCAAAGCAAACUCUGGGCACAACGACGAAUCAGCUUACAAUGCCGUGAGAAUCUGGCUCAAUUCUGGGUCCUCUUUUACUGCUUUUGAUAAUUCAUCUUGCAGUAGAACACAUGGCAUACUAAGUGUAGUCAAGGUUGAAGAUAACUCAAUGCAGGAUAAGGCAUUGACUGCCUUAUGUAGCUCUGGCUUGUACUCUAUGUCGAAAUUAAAUCCCAGCAGCUUUGUUAACCACUUUUGAUAUUUUGCAUUUACUAGUCACUGUUCCAGCAGAAAUUUGAGACUCUUCUGAUCAGUCCGGACUACAAAACGCCUCCCAAUCAGAUAGUGUCUCCACUUUUGUAUAGCAAAUAAGAUUGCCAUCAAUUCCUUCUCAUAAAUGGACCUGCUACGGGCUCGAGAUGGGAGAACUUGACUAGAAUAGGCAAUGGGCCUCUGAUGUUGCAUCAAAACUGCCCCCAAACCAUGGCUGGACGCAUCGAUUUCAAUCACAAACGGUUUUAAAAAAUCUGGAAGUGCCAAUACUGGAACCGAAGCCAUAGCCUUCUUUAAACUCUCAAAAGCAGCCUUCGCCUUAUCAUUCCACCCAAAGUUAUCCAUUUUUAAUUGUUGCGUUUGUGGCCAUGCUUUCAUCUCAUAUGCUUCUACAAACCUCCGAUAGUACCUAGUUAGACAAACGAACCCCCUAGUUCUCUAAGGGAUUUUGGUCGCGGCCAAGCUAUCAUAGCAGCCACUUUAGAUGCAUUGGGUUUAGAUUUUGGUGGAGCUCCUUAUUCUUACACUGAUGGCUUUUUUAUAUUUUGUGAUAUUCAUUUAUUGCUCUUCUUUCUCUUUUUCAAAUUUUAUCAAAGACUUUCCAUUUUCCUAUUUUUAAGUCUAACGAUAAUUUUUGCAAUUUUUCAAAUUUGUUGUUAUCAAAAGUGACUUUUAAUUCAUAUCCUUCAAUUCCUUCGUAUUCUUGUAUAUUUAUGUUAUUACUUUCUAUUUCUUCAAUUUCUCUAUUCAGAUUUUGAUUCAUCUUCUGUUUCACUUAUAUAUACUUCUUGAUCAUAGUAUUCUUCAAUAUCUGAUAUUUCACUUAAUUCAUCCUUUAUUUCUAAAUAUUAUUUUUGUAACAUUCUAACUUUCUUUUUAUCACAAUCAGGACUUAUAUGACCUAUUUCUCCACAAUUUCAAUAUUUACAUUGGCUUUUAUUUUUCUUUUUGUUCUUUUGUUGAUUAUAUGAGUUAUUUUUUCUUUUGUAAUAUCUUCUUUUAGGUUUUAUGUAUUUUUUGAUAAAAUUCCUAAUUUUUUUAAAUUUUUUAUUUUUAUACUUUCUUUUAUUUUUUUCUUUCAAGAUUACAUCCCCAUUGCAUAGGGGUUUCCAUAUCUUCACAACGUAUUUUAGUUAAUUUUCCUAUUUUUUCAUUAUUUGUCUUUGUUGACAUAUGUAUGCAAGUUUUUCAAAUAAAAAUUUUAUUCUCGAACCUAAAGUCCUAGGUAUUCCAGUAUUAUCUCUAACAUAUUUUUCGAAUUCUAUUUGAAAAUAUAUUCCCCAUGAACCUGGUAACUUAUUAUAAUACUUGUCUUGGUAUACUUCUUGAUUUUCAUUACUAUAAAAUAGAAUAUAAUAGUAAUUUUUAAAUUCACAAGUAUAUUUUUUAAUUUUACACAUAUCGUAUAUUGUUAAAUUUAUUAAUUUUAUUCUAGCAUUAUCUUUUUCUCUUAUUGAUUCUUUUUCAGCAUUUCUUAUCCAAUUUUCUUCUAAAAACUCAUCUGAAAUAUAUUCUACUAAUUUUUUUAUACCUUGUCUAUCUGACUUGAUUAUUUUUGUUUGUACCUUUCUUUUUAUUAGUAUUUUUGUAUCAUUGCUUAUUCCUUCCCACCAAUUUCUAACAUCCUCUUCAAAGGACGCUAUUAAAAAAUUUAUUCUUCUUUCAAUAUUUUUUCAUGUGUUAUCUUUGUUAUACAAAAAGAACAAUAUCAUUGAAUCUGCCCAAAUUAAUAAGCCUUUUUUAGUAUCUAUUUUGCAGUUUAAAUCUAGUUUUGUUUAUCCAUGAUUAAUUGGUUUAUCAUAAUUACCAUUUAAUUCAAACCUAUCUUUACAUUUAUUUUCUUUAGGUGAUUGUCUAUCUAUUACUUUAUCAUAGAAUUGUCUAUAUGAUUUAUUAUAUGUAUGUGCAUAACUUUCAUCUGUAUCAUGUACUUCUUGUUUAGAGAUUCCUGCUGAAUUAGGUCCUCAUCCAAUAUUUAUUAAAACUUGGUAUUCACUUAUACCAGUUAAACUUAAUUGAUCAAAAUUUUCUAUUGGCAAAUCUAAUUCUUCACUCAUUUUCUUUUUCUUCUAUUUUUAAUUUUCAUAAUGAUUUUUUUCUAGAUUCUUCUUCCUCUUCUAUUAUUUUUGGUAAUAUUUUCUUUCUUAAUUUAUCAUCCAUACUUCAUGUUUCUAUUUCUUUUUCUAUAUGUUUCUUUCCUAUUCGAGUCAUUUCUUUUUCUAUAAGUUUUUUUUUUUUUAUCUAUUUUCUUAUCUUUGUUUUUAUUAUUUUCUUUUAAUUCUCUAAUUUCAAUUUUUAAUAUAUUUAUAUCAUUUCUUGUUUCUUUUACUUCAUUUCUUAAAUCUUGUACAUCAUUUAUUAACAUUUUUAUUAAUGAUUGUAAUUCUUCCAUAUAUUCACUUAUUGACAUCUUAAUUUUUUUCUUAUUUUUAACUCAUAGGUUAAUUUACAUAUUUUAUCUAUUAUUUUUCUAAAUCUUCUCUCAAAUGUAUCUAGAUCUACUAAUUCUUCUUUUACUAUAGUAAAAUAUUUACUCUCAAGUUUUAAUUUUUCACAUCUUAAUUUUAUUAAUUGUCUAUUAUUUGGUAUUAUCAUUUCUUCUGGUAUUAACAUUAUAUUUCGUAUUUCCUCUAGUAUUUUUUCCAUUUUUAUAAGCAAUUUAUUUAAUUUUAAAUGUAUAUUAUUACUUGUACUUUUACUUUUCUUUAUAAUAUAAAUUAUUUUCUUCAUCUUCAUAUAUAUUAAUAAUUUUUUCAUAUGUAUAUAUAUCUUUAUUUUUUCUAUUAUUAAUUUUUCUAAUAUUUGUUCCUUUAUUUCUUGAGGAAGUUCUUUAAUUAUUGUUAAUUUCGUUAUUUUUAAUCUAUUAUGAAUAGAUUCCAAAAAUAUAUAAUUACAUUUUUCUUCUUCUAAACACUAAUAAUUAUCUAUUUUUCUUAUUGUUAUUUUCAUGAUUACUAUGUCUCUGAUACCAAAAAAAAUGGUGCUACUUACAGCAAACAAAAAUCAAAUAAAUCAAAAAAAUUCAAAUAAAUAUAAUAAAUCAAAUAAAUUGGUAAUCUAUUAAAAUUUAAGCAGUAUUUAAUUUUUUAAGAACUAAAAUGAAAUUUUUUUAUUUUUCAUUAACUUAUUAUGUAAUAUUAUAAAAGGGGUAUUUUUUAUUUUUUAUUAAUUUAUUAUGUAAUAUUAUAAAAGGGGUAUUUUGGGUAUCAAAAUUAGCCGAGCUUUAUACCUUUCUAUUUGGCUAAUUUCCAUGUAUUUGCCAGUUUCCUACCUCUUGCUCAAAUAGGGUUCAUUUUAGUGCUUUAUUUCCGUUCUAUCGACUCAAAAAUUAUUGUUUAUUGGUUCACUUUGUUUAAAUCUUGAUUGGGAUUUUCUAAUUUUUGUUUAAAGAUGGAAACCCCAUUUGGAAGAAAUCAAAGCUUUGUUAUUUGAUAAUCCAAAAUACCAUUCCGAGGGCUCACACGUUCGGGGAGAAAUUGAAUCGGGAAUUAUCAAUGUUUGAUUCGAAGAGAACCCAUUUGGCAAUUUCUCCUAGAAUCGAAAUUUAUUUGUAGGACUGGGUCUGGUUAACCCUAAGUUUCUUUCAAAACUCGUGGCAAACAUUUUGCGUGUCUUGAAAUUGCACACGAGUAUGGGUUGUGUUUGUGGUAAGUGCUGUAGCAGAUUUCGACGAACCUCAGGUGGUGAUAACAAGGAAGAAUUGGGGGUGUAUCCUGGUCAGAAUACACAUAUACUUGCUAACCGGUUGGUAGAGAUUGUGAAUGUUCCUUCACACAAUUUCAGGUUAGAGUAUUCUGUUCUUACACAACGUGGUCAUUAUCCUGAAACACCUGGUAAGGAAAAUCAAGAUAGUUAUUGUAUCAGAACGAAUAUUCAGGGCAACCCUGAUGUUCAUUUCUUUGGUGUGUUUGAUGGGCAUGGACAGUUUGGAACCGAGUGCUCGAAUUUUGUUAAGGAUAGGCUCGUUGAGAUUUUAUCAAUUGAUGCUGCAUUACUAGUUGAUCCGGUCAAGGCUUAUAGUGCUGCAUUUUUGGCAACAAAUGAUGAACUUCAUAAUAGUGAUAUAGAUGAUUCCAUGAGUGGUACUACGGCCAUAACAGCUCUUUUGAUUGGGGAUAAGCUUUAUGUUGCAAAUGUUGGCGACUCGAGAGCAGUGUUAGCUGUCAAGGAAGGGAAUAAAAUUGUCGGUCAAGAUUUAUCUCGUGACCAGACGCCAUUCCGGGUAGAUGAAUGUGAGAGAGUGAAGCUUUGUGGGGCUAGGGUUUUGAGUGUUGAUCAAGUGGAAGGGCUUAAGGAUCCAGGAAUACAAUCUUGGGGAGAUGAGGAAACUGAGGGUGGCGAUCCACCUAGAUUAUGGGUUCAAGAUGGGAUGUAUCCAGGAACUGCAUUUACGCGUAGUGUAGGGGAUAGACUGGCGGAGAAGAUUGGUGUUGUUGCUGAUCCGGAAGUGUCCAUGGUAGAGCUUUCAGCUAAGCACCCAUUCUUUGUUGUUGCAAGUGAUGGGGUGUUUGAGUUCCUACCUAGCCAAACUGUUGUGGACAUGGUACAUGACACAUUUAAUGAUCAGAAAUAUUUCAUCUGUUGUUCUUUUUCAUUUACUCCUUCACCAUUAAGAUUUUGGAAGUUUAUGCAUAAAUAAUGUCGCUUUUGUUUGCCUUGCUAUUAGGGUUGAUUUUAUCUAUAAUUGAUAUGCAUGCAUAUGUAUAAUUUGAGAAGUUCAACUUUAUGGAAAUAUUAAACUCCAUAAAUGUAAAACACACGAACAUUCAUGUGAAACUAGAGCCCAACUGGAAGCUUUGUAGUAAGACUUCAUUCUUCUUUUCCUUACUGCACUUACAAAAUAUUCUAUUGACCAUGUUAAAAUGGACUCGAGUACAUUUUACAAAUCGACCAUUUAUCUAACAUUAGUAGUGGUCUAAUUUGCGAAGUUCAACUUUAUGGAAAUAUUAAACUCCAUAAAUGUAAAACACACGAACAUUCAUGUGAAACUAGAGCCCAACUGGAAGCUUUGUAGUAAGACUUCAUUCUUCUUUUCCUUACUGCACUUACAAAAUAUUCUAUUGACCAUGUUAAAAUGGACUCGAGUACAUUUUACAAAUCGACCAUUUAUCUAACAUUAGUAGUGGUCUAAUUUGCAUUAAAUGAUAAGCCUAAUUAAAUGGCUUCCAUAUUCUUUGCAUUUAAUUGGGCUUAUCAUUUAAUGCCACCUAGACUAGUAUUAUAACACCAAUGGUUGUAGAAAGGAUUAUUCUUCUUUUACUUGCGGUGCAUACAAAAUAUUUUAUUGAUCAUGUUACUAAAUGGACUCGAGUACAUUUCAUAUGAUUGUGAAAACUAUAAUUGCCCUUGGACUUUGAGAUCUUGGUCUAUAUCAAUGUUUGAAGAAGUAAAGAAACAUUUAUAUCAUUGUAAUUGGUACUUCUUGCACAUGUGUUAGCUCCUUAUUUCUAGUAUCAUCUUGAGUUAUUCCUAUAAAUGUGCAGGUAAGCAUUGCUUACAAUUACUGCUCAAUGUAACAUAUGGUUACUGAAAUGUGGCCUGCUUUUGAUUGACCCAUAUACCUACACAAAUGGCAUGGGAAUUUGAUUGAUUGAUUUAUUCCCUUUUUACAUAAGGAAGAAGAAAACUUACCUUUAGAGGACAAUCAACACACGGUUCCUUUAUCCCCUCUUACCUUUCAUGAUAAAUUGGAUAAACUCCAAAGAAAAUAAAUAAAUAGCAUUAUCACAAGUACCCCCUCCUCUUCCUCCUCAGUUUGCAUAUGGACUGAUCAUGAAUUUAGUUUACCUUUUAGAAAUCACGUGUUAUGUUUUUGAUUUGUAAAUUUAGCAUUGACCUUGAUCGAUUAUUGUGCUCAAUAUGGCUUCAUGCUUUUCUUAUGCGUAUAGUUUAUUAAUUGACGCUACCAAGUAACAACAGAGUGCAGCAGUGAUAUUUUUUUCCCACUUAUAUCUGGCAGUAAUUUCCGUCUAUCUUUGCAGGUUACAAAAUAUCCUGAUCCCAGGGAUGCAUGUUCCGCCAUUGCCACAGAAUCAUAUAAAUUAUGGUUAGAGCAUGAAAAUCGGACAGAUGAUAUAACCAUCAUCCUUGUACAAAUUAAAGAAUUGACUAAUGUAUGAAUGAUUUGAUUCUUAGUUGUUCACGGCUUUUCUUAUUUGAUAAUCAUUUUUCCUUAACCACCAGUGAAAUAUUGUUUCUUUCCAUGGAUUUAUACGACAUGUAGUGUUGUUACAACACAUAAUUUUAUCCUUAAAUAUUUUUGUGCUUACCACAGUGAGUGGAAAUAAUGUCCGUUUUGUCAUCAAGGCUUGAUAAGUUCACUAAAAAGGGAUCGGUGCAACUUGCCAAGUAUUGCUAUAUUGAGAAACUGUUAAUGAACACACAACACACUGAUUUUCUGUGAUGCAGAGGUAGAGCAAAUCAGGAAUUUGCAGCGUUUGCUCUUAUGCUUUGAAGCAGUAUCUGGAUUGAAAAUAAGUCUGGGGAAAUCUGAAGCUAUCAUAGUGGGAGGUGGAUAACAUGGUGGAGUUGGCUACUAUACUAGGAUGCAGGGUUGCGCGAUUACCUAUGACAUAUCUUGGGCUACCUUUAGGCGCUUGGUUUAAAAGCACACAUAUCUGGAAUAGUAUUGUUGAAAGGGUGGAGAGAAGGCUAGCGGGGUGGAAGCGUAUGUACCUCUCAAAGGGAGGUCGUCUUACUCUCAUAAGAUCCAAGUUGUCGAACCUCCCUUCUUACUUCAUGUCGUUUUCUAUUCCUAUUGCAGUGGCAAAAAAAUUGGAAAGGAUCCAAAGGAAUUUUCUUUAGGGAGGAUUAAUGCAGGAGAUGAAAUUACAUUUGAUUAAUUGGGGUAUCGUAUGUUCUCCCAUGAGGUUGGGUGGUCUCGGAUUGAGGAGUUUCAUACUGUUUAAUAAAGUUUUGUUGGGUAAAUGGUUGUGGCUAUUUGGAAUGGAGAGGGAGUUUUGGGAGAGAAAUUAUAGGAGCAAAAUAUGUUGUUAUGGAGAGGGGAUGGUGUUUAGUCGAGAGUCGAGGCUCUUAUGGGGUAAGUCUGUGGCGAUAUAUCCGGUGAGGGUUGACGUUUGUAGUGGGGAAUGGUCAUACUAUCAAUUUUUGGGAUGAUUGUUGGUGUUGAGAUCAACCACUAAGAUUGAAAUUUCCUUGUAUCGUAUUGCAUUGUUGCCGUCUGUCAUGGUGAAUGAUGUUUUAGAUAUUCAUAAUGGGAGUAUCAGUUGGAACAUUGCUUGUGCACGGGGUUUACACAACUACGCGCUGUUUUUGACAUCUUUAAAUGAGGUACAAAUCAGGGCAGGAUAUGGUGAUUGCAGUAGGUGGAGGUUGGCACGGGAUUGAAUGAUUUGAUUCUUAGUUGUUCACGGCUUUUCUUAUUUGAUAAUCAUUUUUCCUUAACCACCAGUGAAAUAUUGUUUCUUUCCAUGGAUUUAUACGACAUGUAGUGUUGUUACAACACAUAAUUUUAUCCUUAAAUAUUUUUGUGCUUACCACAGUGAGUGGAAAUAAUGUCCGUUUUGUCAUCAAGGCUUGAUAAGUUCACUAAAAAGGGAUCGGUGCAACUUGCCAAGUAUUGCUAUAUUGAGAAACUGUUAAUGAACACACAACACACUGAUUUUCUGUGAUGCAGAGGUAGAGCAAAUCAGGAAUUUGCAGCGUUUGCUCUUAUGCUUUGAAGCAGUAUCUGGAUUGAAAAUAAGUCUGGGGAAAUCUGAAGCUAUCAUAGUGGGAGGUGGAUAACAUGGUGGAGUUGGCUACUAUACUAGGAUGCAGGGUUGCGCGAUUACCUAUGACAUAUCUUGGGCUACCUUUAGGCGCUUGGUUUAAAAGCACACAUAUCUGGAAUAGUAUUGUUGAAAGGGUGGAGAGAAGGCUAGCGGGGUGGAAGCGUAUGUACCUCUCAAAGGGAGGUCGUCUUACUCUCAUAAGAUCCAAGUUGUCGAACCUCCCUUCUUACUUCAUGUCGUUUUCUAUUCCUAUUGCAGUGGCAAAAAAAUUGGAAAGGAUCCAAAGGAAUUUUCUUUAGGGAGGAUUAAUGCAGGAGAUGAAAUUACAUUUGAUUAAUUGGGGUAUCGUAUGUUCUCCCAUGAGGUUGGGUGGUCUCGGAUUGAGGAGUUUCAUACUGUUUAAUAAAGUUUUGUUGGGUAAAUGGUUGUGGCUAUUUGGAAUGGUGAGGGGAGUUUUGGGAGAGAAAUUAUAGGAGCAAAAUAUGUUGUUAUGGAGAGGGGAUGGUGUUUAGUCGAGAGUCGAGGCUCUUAUGGGGUAAGUCUGUGGCGAUAUAUCCGGUGAGGGUUGACGUUUGUAGUGGGGAAUGGUCAUACUAUCAAUUUUUGGGAUGAUUGUUGGUGUUGAGAUCAACCACUAAGAUUGAAAUUUCCUUGUAUCGUAUUGCAUUGUUGCCGUCUGUCAUGGUGAAUGAUGUUUUAGAUAUUCAUAAUGGGAGUAUCAGUUGGAACAUUGCUUGUGCACGGGGUUUACACAACUACGCGCUGUUUUUGACAUCUUUAAAUGAGGUACAAAUCAGGGCAGGAUAUGGUGAUUGCAGUAGGUGGAGGUUGGCACGGGAUGACAUGUUUUUAGUCGGCACUUUCUUUAAAUCUUUAUUGGGGGUUGAGAAUAGCUCUUUCCCUUAGAAGGCGGUGUGGAAGAGUAAAUUGCUACCACGAUUAGCAUUUUUACUAUGGACUGUGGUCAGAGGACAGGUGAUAACGGCGGAAAACCUACGGACAGGGGGUUUUUGUAUUACAGAGUCGUGCCUUAUGUAUAGGAGGGAUGGCGAGCCGAUUGAUCACUUGUUCCUCCAUUGUGAUGACGCUAGUUUACUGUGGAAUGAGAUUUUCGCAUUGCAACACAUAGAUUGGGCGAUGCCAAGGUGUAUGGAAGACGUGUUAAAGGCAUGGGGGAGAAAAUUUCGUGACAAGGAUAGCAAACUUGCAUAGGAGCUUAUUCCGGGCUGCAUAGUUUUUUGUGUGUGGAGAGAAAGGAACAGCCGAUGUUUUGACGAUCGAACAAGAACAAUAGAGCAACUUAGAGAAUUGUUUUAUUUCACAUUGUACACUUGGUUUAAUGUGAUGGCUACUAGUCAUAUAGAUGGAC
RNAcentral lists this long non-coding RNA (10422 nucleotides) under Olea europaea (common olive). Its description in RNAcentral is "long non-coding RNA (OEUR_LNC011098)". Lineage: Eukaryota; Viridiplantae; Streptophyta; Magnoliopsida; Lamiales; Oleaceae. The record is from RNAcentral.